UACGGAGGAUGCGAGCGUUAUCCGGAUUUAUUGGGUUUAAAGGGUGCGUAGGCGGGAUGCCAAGUCAGCGGUAAAAAUGCGGUGCUCAACGCCGUCGAGCCGUUGAAACCGGCGUUCUUGAGUGGGCGAGAAGUAUGCGGAAUGCGUGGUGUAGCGGUGAAAUGCAUAGAUAUCACGCAGAACUCCGAUUGCGAAGGCAGCAUACCGGCGCCCUACUGACGCUGAGGCACGAAAGCGUGGGUAUCGAACAGG
Molecule: ribosomal RNA, 252 nt
Filed under: uncultured bacterium
Lineage: Bacteria
Description: partial 16S ribosomal RNA
Rfam family: Bacterial small subunit ribosomal RNA
Source: RNAcentral